GACGAACGCUGGCGGCGUGCUUAACACAUGCAAGUCGAGCGGUAAGGCCCUUUCGGGGGUACACGAGCGGCGAACGGGUGAGUAACACGUGGGUGACCUGCCCUCAGCUCUGGGAUAAGCCUGGGAAACCGGGUCUAAUACUGGAUAUGACUCCAUGACGCAUGUUGUGGGGUGGAAAGCCUUGUGCGGCUGAGGAUGGGCCCGCAGCCUAUCAGCUUGUUGGUGGGGUGAUGGCCUACCAAGGCGACGACGGGUAGCCGGCCCGAGAGGGCGACCGGCCACACUGGGACUGAGACACGGCCCAGACUCCUACGGGAGGCAGCAGUGGGGAAUCUUGCGCAAUGGGCGAAAGCCUGACGCAGCAACGCCGCGUGAGUG
RNAcentral lists this ribosomal RNA (378 nucleotides) under uncultured bacterium. RNAcentral's name for it is "bacterial SSU rRNA". It matches the Rfam family "Bacterial small subunit ribosomal RNA", at positions 28 to 407 of the family's 1533-position model. The record is from RNAcentral.